GCCACUUGGCAUCCUCUUAAACCCUUAAUUGCCACAUGUCCUCUCUACAGCCUCUAAUUUUACAAAAUCCCGCUCAAACUAAAACCCUAAACCAAACACGCGUAGAUGGCUUCCUUCUCCAACAAUCUUCUUUCCUUAUGGCAACAUAGAUUCAGGUCCCAUCUAUUGCUGAUUUCUUUCACAAACACUAAAUCUAUACUAGGCGAUUCUCUCAUGCGGUUAUCAAAAACCCUAAAUUGGAACCAGUCGAAUCUGAUACAGUGAAAUUAAGGCUUUUGAUUUCCGAGUUAGGGUUUCUUCUUCAUAUGCGGUCUUCUUUUUAAGAUGAUUUGCCAUAAUUCUUUGCCUAUAAUAUCCUUUGUUCAUUGUAAUUCAUCGACAUCACAAUUCCAAUUUUUAUGUUGCCAUCGUUCCGCCUUAAUCAAUGGCAAAUCAUCGUUGCUUCUUCAACUAUGUCUUAGACGCUACGGAAUCAGAACGGGUAAGACUUUAACUUUUAGUUGACCUUUGUAGCAUAUACCACAUAUAUUAAAUCUCUAAUUACGUUUUCUAUGAUUUUUCCCUUAACGUCAAUUUUACAUUUUUAUUCACAAAUAUAGCCGUUGCCAGCCUCAUAUAAUGUGGACAUUGGACUACAGGGCUAUCCCGUCAAAUGUGAUGUAUAAAGAAGUCUUUAAUGAAAAAAACUCAGGUCUCCUUACUGCAAGAAUAUAGAUUAAAACAGGCUGGCGGAUAUGUUAGUAUAUUAAUAAUCACCAACAUUUGGGUUGUCGCAAAUAAUCUAAGUUCCUUUUAAAAGUAGUUGGAACUAGGUGCUUAUCGCCACCAAAAUGGUGUGGGUUCGAGUCCCACUGGCCGAUAUGUAAAUUAUAUGAAGAAUGUGUGUUUGCUGUUAAAAAAACUGGAAGUAGCUUUUUUUAACCAGUAGGCUUUAUUGAUGCUAAAAGUUGUUUCUGAUAAUAUUUAAUACCAAAAAAGUUUUUUAUACAUAAUUUACAGACAUUUGCUUGCGGCUUUAUCUUUGGUUGCACAGAUACAACUUUGCAUAGACGAGUGUCAGGUAAAUUAUUAAUGUAAAUUAAAAGAAGCGAGUCAGCUCGAGUCAAGCUAUAACUUGAAAAUUUACACACGAGUUAGAUCGAACAGAACUACAGAUGCUGUUUUGAUAAGUUAUUUCAAUAUUGUUUGUCUCCAUCACUUGGCUAUGUGUCGCGCCAUAUGUGCUGGUUGCUUUACAUGAUGAAUUCUAUAUACCUUAAUUCAUAUACAUAUUUUCCACCAAAGUAAGUUUUUUAAGAAUAGAGCAUAACUUUAUAUUCUUUUCAUGAUUUUAUAAAUGAUUUCAUAUUAAGAGAGGCCAUGGGGUAGCUCGGUAUCUUGGUAAAUCACAGGUAUGUAUUGUAAUGUUGUUGGUUUGUUUUUAACGCUUUUUUAUUUGGUUGUUGUAAUGGUUUGUUGUUUGAGUUGGAACAUGUGGAUUGAAUUUGCUCUUUUACAACCUUUUACAGUUCUUUCAUGUUAUAUUGCAUGAUUCAAUCACCCUUUUUAUUCAAUUUUUUUCUAUGACAUUUAAGUUUCAUCAUGAACAACAGCACACCACCUGUUUGAUGAAAUGCCUGACUGAAAUUGAAAAUUUGUGUUCUUUAUUUUUUUGUGUGAAACUUUCGAAUUUUAUCAGUAGGGUAAAAGUUUUUAACCAAAGUUAUAUAAUACGAUUAGUAUUGAAAAGUUUUUAUAAACUUGAUAAGAUGAAUAAUGAUGUUGAAAUCUAUGACUUUCAAGUCUGAGUUUGACUUUAUUUAGUCAAACAAAGAUAGUUUUAGGCCUUCGUUUUUCAGAUGUCAACAGCCCUUUGGUUUAAAUUUUGAUUACGUUUUCUGCGGUGAAUGUAAGUGGCAAUGAAUCUAUGACGAUAGAAAGGUUUAAGUAUACUUUAUCUAAUUUAUAUGCCUUGGCAUCUGGUAGGCAAUGAAGAUGUUCUGCAUAUAAUAUUUCCGAACAUGAUGAUCUUGGCGAGGCAAAGAUGAGAUUAUCCACAUUCUGGCGGGGCAACAUGGAUGGUCCUGUGAAAGGUUGAAUAAGUUUGUGCUAUCACAUGGCAAUCGGUUGAUAACUUGCGGCUGGGAAUGAGUGACGGCCAUAAUUUGAUUGUAAAAGUUGUUAGUUCAACGCUGGUGUUGCAGAAGGGCCGGCCUAAUUGCUGAAUGUUUGGUAGGAGAUGAGACCGAGACUAUAUUGUUCACUGCAAGGAAUAAUCAAGGUAGUUACCGGUUUUCUUUUUAAGGGUUCUACGAGACACGAAUUGCAUAUUAUUCAUGGAGGGGUGCAAAAGGGGUACCGUUUUGCAGCCAUCCCUGGUUAACUUGUGAUUGAUAUAGAUCUGUUUGAAAAUCCAAUGGUAUCCAAGUAUGCGAUUCAAGAAGGCGUUCGAGACCGAAGAUUUGUUCAUAAUUAGCUUGGUUUAUCUGCAUGGUUUUGUCUGUUCGUGCCGAUGAUCAAACCCGUAUAGGUUUUGUUGAAAAGAGGUGGAUAAGAGCUAUAAGUUGGACCCGUUGGUCACCAUUCUUGCGAUUUAGGAUAAGCUCCAGCAUGCGAUGGAAUGGGUCAAGAAAAAAAAAAUACUCUAAUGCAGUUUUUUACAUCAGAAGUUUGGUGUUUUUAUUUUUUUUUCUUUUUUCUUUUUUUUUUACACCAAACUUGUGGUGU
This is a long non-coding RNA of Helianthus annuus (common sunflower), 2706 nucleotides long. RefSeq lists it as uncharacterized. The record is from RefSeq and is a predicted model, not a curated record. NCBI's taxonomy places the organism in Eukaryota, Viridiplantae, Streptophyta, Magnoliopsida, Asterales, Asteraceae. The transcript has 8 exons.